CUAAAGCUAGUUUAACUUAAAAUAAGUGCUUUGGGAGCACUAGUUUCUUAUUCAUUAGGGGCUUUAGA
Molecule: transfer RNA, 68 nt
Filed under: Magallana nippona (Iwagaki oyster)
Lineage: Eukaryota; Metazoa; Mollusca; Bivalvia; Ostreida; Ostreidae
Description: tRNA-Pro
Source: RNAcentral